GAUGAAGAAUGUAGCAAAAUGCGAUAAGUAAUGUGAAUUGCAGAAUUCAGUGAAUCAUCGAAUCUUUGAACGCACAUUGCGCCCGCCAGUAUUCUGGCGGGCAUGCCUGUUCGAGCGUCAUUUCAACCCUCAAGCACAGCUUGGUGUUGGGACUCGCGUUAAUUCGCGUUCCUCAAAUUGAUUGGCGGUCACGUCGAGCUUCCAUAGCGUAGUAGUAAAACCCUCGUUACUGGUAAUCGUCGCGGCCACGCCGUUAAACCCCAACUUCUGAAUGUUGACCUCGGAUCAGGUAGGAAUACCCGCUGAACUUAAGCAUAUCAAUAAGCGGAGGA
This 332-nucleotide unclassified non-coding RNA is filed under the name soil metagenome. RNAcentral's name for it is "partial contains 5.8S ribosomal RNA, internal transcribed spacer 2, and large subunit ribosomal RNA". The stretch from base 1 to 120 matches the Rfam family "5.8S ribosomal RNA", at positions 35 to 154 of the family's 154-position model. The record is from RNAcentral.